GAGCUGGGCGGUGAGCACAGAGCGAACUAUUCUUUCGCCUUUUACUAAAGAAUACCGUGUGCACGUUUAAGAAACUCCCACAACUCAGUUCAAAUUUUUGUUUUUAAAUAAUUAUUUAAC
This is a small nuclear RNA of Cucurbita pepo subsp. pepo (vegetable marrow), 120 nucleotides long. RefSeq annotates it as U5 spliceosomal RNA. Lineage: Eukaryota; Viridiplantae; Streptophyta; Magnoliopsida; Cucurbitales; Cucurbitaceae. The record is from RefSeq and is a predicted model, not a curated record.